RNAcentral lists this ribosomal RNA (280 nucleotides) under uncultured Oscillibacter sp. RNAcentral describes it as "partial 16S ribosomal RNA". It matches the Rfam family "Bacterial small subunit ribosomal RNA", at positions 68 to 339 of the family's 1533-position model. Lineage: Bacteria; Bacillati; Bacillota; Clostridia; Eubacteriales; Oscillospiraceae. The record is from RNAcentral.
UUUAUGAUUUCUUCGGAAUGAAUUUGAUUUAGUUUAGUGGCGGACGGGUGAGUAACGCGUGAGGAACCUGCCUUUCAGAGGGGGACAACAGUUGGAAACGACUGCUAAUACCGCAUAACGCGUAGAGGUCGCAUGGCCUUUACGCCAAAGAUUUAUCGCUGAAAGAUGGCCUCGCGUCUGAUUAGCUAGUUGGUGAGGUAACGGCCCACCAAGGCGACGAUCAGUAGCCGGACUGAGAGGUUGAACGGCCACAUUGGGACUGAGAUACGGCCCAGACUCC